CUCUUGUAGCUGAAUGAACACAAAUCCCCACAGCCACGCUCCAAAAUCUAGUGGAAAGCCUUCCCAGAAGAGUGGAGAUUAUUAUAACAGCAAAGGGGGAAUAAAUCUGGAAUGAGAUGUUCAACAAACACAUAUGACUAUGCUGAUUUGUUAUAAGUACAGUGUUUGGCUGAUUUGGGCACAAAGUGUCAAAGGUCAUAGUGUAUCUGACCCUGAAGUCUGUUCCAAGAUGUUUCCUGACCCGUCGCCCAUCUCCUCACAUGCCUCCACUUCUCCUCCAUCUCCAUCUGCUCCCCGAUUCGUCGAUGUUUCCACCAGUCCAUCCUGGUCACAGCUGAUAUCUUGUGACUCAUCAGCUCGCUCUUCCUCCUCCUCGUCCUCCACGUCCAUCUCAAACACGCGGACGUGACGCAGGUUCGAACUCAGCUAGUUCAGCAAGUGCAAAACGCGUGGAGUUAGUUUAUGAAUAAGCAAGUAGUAAUUAGUUCGAAUUUACAGACCUAUGCUUUAUUCAUACAGUCACACAAAUAAAUGAUCUCUAAGUAAGCUGUAAAACAGACAAAACUCAAAUAGUUACAUUAGGCUCAUAACUGCUUUGUAUAAUGUGUUUAAUCUCAACUCUUUUAAUAAGAUCUCUGUAUGUGUACCAACUAAACAGCAAUCUCUCUAUGAUUUUAAUCUCUAAUUCAUUAAAAAAGCACAAGAA
This is a long non-coding RNA of Pangasianodon hypophthalmus (striped catfish), 706 nucleotides long. RefSeq lists it as uncharacterized. The transcript is spliced from 2 exons. The record is from RefSeq and is a predicted model, not a curated record. NCBI's taxonomy places the organism in Eukaryota, Metazoa, Chordata, Actinopteri, Siluriformes, Pangasiidae.